This 384-nucleotide ribosomal RNA is filed under the name uncultured Nitrospira sp. RNAcentral's name for it is "bacterial SSU rRNA". It matches the Rfam family "Bacterial small subunit ribosomal RNA", at positions 9 to 375 of the family's 1533-position model. The record is from RNAcentral. Lineage: Bacteria; Pseudomonadati; Nitrospirota; Nitrospiria; Nitrospirales; Nitrospiraceae.
GAGUUUGAUCAUGGCUCAGAACGAACGCUGGCGGCGCGCCUAAUACAUGCAAGUCGAGCGAGAAGACGUAGCUAAUACGUUUGUAAAGCGGCGAACGGGUGAGGAAUACAUGGGUAACCUACCCUCGAGUGGGGGAUAACGUAGCCGAAAGGUUAGCUAAUACCGCAACUACGACUCUCGGUCUGCGGAUCGAGAGAGAAAGCGAUACCGUGGGUAUCGCGCUCUUGGAUGGGGCUCAUGUCCUAUCAGCUUGUUGGUGAGGUAACGGCUCACCAAAGGCUUCGACGGGUAGCUGGGUCUGAGAGGACGAUCAGCCACACUGGCACUGCGACACGGGCCAGACUCCUAACGGGAGGCAAGCAGUAAGGAAUAUUGCGCAAUGGG